UAUACUUGUACACUAUGCCUUGUAGAUGGUACGCACGCAAUGUGUUCGAUGAAAUGCCUAAGUGAGUUUAGUUAUGGUUUUUACAUGAAUACUUGUUAAGUCGAUGUAACUUCUUUAUGAUAAUGGCGUAAGUGAUUAGUAGACACCAUAAUGAACUAUAAGGAAUGUGAAAGUAAUGUUUUUGAAAGCUAAAGUAUGGGAUUAUGACAUAUAGGCACAAAGAAGGAAGAACGCGCAGGUCACUCGAAGGCAUAAGUAUCUCAAGAUCGCGGUAAAUCCUCAACUUAGGCGACUCGGCGAAAUGGAGCGAGCACGCGAUCAAAAUAUGUCUUACCAAGCGCUUCCGCUAGCUUAUGCUAAUGUUUUGGGUCAAAAUACUUUUUGUACAAAUUGUUGGUAAAACGCUUUUAAGUACUUGAUGUUUUAGUUUUAGUAGUAUCUUGUAGAAUGAUAUUGUUUUGAUUGUGGUUAAAACAGGGGCAUACUCGUUUUACGAACGGGUCAUGCCCAAUUUUUGUAAAAAUUUUAAUUAUGUAUUCAAGUUGGUAUUUUUGAUGUCUAUUAAA
This is a long non-coding RNA of Helianthus annuus (common sunflower), 566 nucleotides long. RefSeq lists it as uncharacterized. The record is from RefSeq and is a predicted model, not a curated record. The transcript has 2 exons. Lineage: Eukaryota; Viridiplantae; Streptophyta; Magnoliopsida; Asterales; Asteraceae.